This 74-nucleotide non-coding RNA is filed under the name unclassified sequences. RNAcentral describes it as "S15-Halobacteria ribosomal protein leader". It matches the Rfam family "S15-Halobacteria ribosomal protein leader". The record is from RNAcentral.
GUGGGAAGCGCACGGCCGCAAAUCUGACUCGUCACCCGUCGAUUUUCGCGGGUGACUUGGGAUUGCGGAAGUGC